Molecule: ribosomal RNA, 467 nt
Filed under: uncultured bacterium
Lineage: Bacteria
Description: partial 16S ribosomal RNA
Rfam family: Bacterial small subunit ribosomal RNA
Source: RNAcentral
GACGAACGCUGGCGGCGUGCUUAACACAUGCAAGUCGAACGGAAAGGCCCUGCUUUUGUGGGGUGCUCGAGUGGCGAACGGGUGAGUAACACGUGAGUAACCUGCCCUUGACUUUGGGAUAACUUCAGGAAACUGGGGCUAAUACCGGAUAGGAGCUCCUGCUGCAUGGUGGGGGUUGGAAAGUUUCGGCGGUUGGGGAUGGACUCGCGGCUUAUCAGCUUGUUGGUGGGGUAGUGGCUUACCAAGGCUUUGACGGGUAGCCGGCCUGAGAGGGUGACCGGGCACCAUUGGGACGGAGAACGGCCCCGACCUCCUCGGGGGGGAAGCGGGGGGAAAUUUUGAAAAGGGGGGGGAGGCGUGAGGCGGAACCGCCGGGGGGGGAAGGAGGCCUUGGGGGUGGAAACCCGUUUUCGCUGGGGAGGAGGGGUGGUGGAGGGAAGGGGGAAAAAAACACCGGCCAAACUACG